This is a small nuclear RNA of Cavia porcellus (domestic guinea pig), 163 nucleotides long. Its record names the gene U1. It matches the Rfam family "U1 spliceosomal RNA". Rfam says of the family: U1 is a small nuclear RNA (snRNA) component of the spliceosome (involved in pre-mRNA splicing). NCBI's taxonomy places the organism in Eukaryota, Metazoa, Chordata, Mammalia, Rodentia, Caviidae. The record is from Ensembl.
AUACUUAGCUGGCAGGGAAGACACCAUGAUUACAAAGGUGAUUUCCUUGGGCAAGGCUUCUCCAUUGCACUGCGGACAUGCUGAUCCCUGUGAUUUCCCCAAAUGUGGGAAACUCAACUGCAUAAUUUAUGAUAGUGGGGGAUUGCAUAUGUGAUUUCCUCUG